Non-coding RNA from Equus caballus (horse), 2324 nucleotides. NCBI's taxonomy places the organism in Eukaryota, Metazoa, Chordata, Mammalia, Perissodactyla, Equidae. The record is from RefSeq and is a predicted model, not a curated record.
UUGCCCAUCUCCAUGUUGUAAAUAUUCUCACAAUAACUAUUUUCAAGCUACCAAACAUUAAAUCAACCAGCUCACAAAAUUUCUGACAACUUAGCACUUGGUUCUCCCAUGGCUAUAGCACGCUACUGGGAGUUCCCUAGUAAAAGCCUUUGGUAACUUUUACAAGGCCGAAACCAAACCAAUUCUUCCUAGAGCCACACUUUUCAAACAUUAGUGUGACUACAAAUCACCUGAGAAUCUUAUUAAAAAUGUAGAUUCUAAUUUAGUAGGUCUGGGCUGGCACCCGAGAUUCUGAUUUCUAACAGGCUCCUAAGCGAUGUUGAUGAUGAUGCUGGUCCAUGGACCACACUUUGAGUAGCAGGGUCUUAGAACAUAUCCUAGAGCAAACUUCACAUUUCUGUCAUUAGUCCCAAACCAGAAACUUUUGAAUAGGCUCUCUUUUCCUAAUACAGAGAAUCAACUUAAGUGGAUCCCCAAAUUUCUGGGUAUGAACUCCAUGACCUCCAUCUUUCAAUAGAGAUACUACAAACAUCAAUAACUUCCUGUCCCACUCACACCUGCUUCUGGUGGAAACUUCCCCCGCCACAUAAAUAAAAUUCCCCAGCCCCAGCUGUUUGGCUCAGUGUAAGCCAUCUGACCCAAGGAAAGUCCAUCCAUACUGUAGCCAGUGAUCUGGCUUGAAAGGAAAAGCUAGGCCAGCGGUUCCUCUCACAAAACUGAACUUGGGAAAAUGAAAGACUGAAAUAUUUAGGUGGGAGAACUCAAGCUGUAAGGUCAUGGAGUAGAUUCAAGGCUGGAGAAGCCUCGAAAGGCAAGCUGAAAUUAUUAGCAAACAGAAAUGAUGCAUGGGUAGUUACAUGAAGCUAGUCAGUUUCAAGAAUAGAAUGGAGUGAGGAUGCUGGGAAAAGCUGAGAUAUCAUGAAGAAGAAAGAGAUCAACCAGCCUCUGAGAGGAAGAUAGCAAAUGCUGCCUCAGUUCCUGUUAGAGUUUCCGUGAAGCCUGCUGUAUCACUGUCCCUCUUUCUGUGUGCUUGGGAGAUCCUAUCUACCAUAUAUAGCCAUGGAAUAACCCCUGUUUUGUUUUGUUUUGUUUUGUUUUUUUGAGCUAGUACCUGUGAAUUUCUAUAUCUUCUAAACAAACCAACAAAGACCUAAUUAAAACCAUGGGACUCUAGUUAUUCUAGUCAUAAUGCAUGAACUGAGAGUUCUCUUCCAGAAUUAGUAGCAUGGAAUCUCAGAGUUUGAGAAGCUUUUGAAGGUCUUCUAGCUCCUGGUGUAUAAACUCUCUCUGUAAUUCUCUGCUUAAAUUUCUGAUGACAACGUCUUGAAUAUUCUAUAAGGAGACUUACCAAGGAUAUACUCCUGAUUGCCCAUGUCUGUCUUAGAAUGUGAUCCAAAAACUGAAAAAAACACUCCAGAGGAAAAAGGAAUAGUUAACUUUUCCUGGAAAAAUUAAUGCAACCUAAAAUUCCAGCAACUUCUUCGCCUGUUCUAAUGGCUUCACUUAGUACUUUGUGAUUCCUUUGCCUUUCCUCGAUACUCUUUCUUUAUAACAAAAAAGCAUACCACAAGUAGCCUGGAUUUUGAACUAAACUAAAAGACAGAAUGUAACCAAAAGCAGCAGGAGAGGAAAAAAGCGGCUGAUGCCAUGCAGUAGCAAAUGUGUCUGGGAACACUCAAAGAGACACUCCCUUAAGUACAACCGGUACAUCCAUCCAGAGCUCGGGAGCCCUUUAGGGCGAUGUGCAGAGCCAGCAGUUAUUGGUGGGUCCUAAAGGCAGAGAAGCACCGAGACUCCAAUUCACCUUUGGUCUGAAAAACACCAGCUGCAUGCAGAGCGCCAUCCAAGAGUAAGACAAGCAAGUAUGAUUAUGUUUUUUACAAUAAUGUUGCCUAAUUAUGAAGUUUGUUAGCUCUAUUUAAUGUUUAACUUUCUUAAAUUUCCAUCGGCCAGGAUUAGCAGGGUUUUUUCCUUGCACAUUUUUUUUUUACAAAAUAUGUAAUUCCAGAUUAUGAAUUGAAAUGACUUACUGUACCCUGUAUCUUAACUUCCUAUUAAUUGAAUUAAUAUGAAAUCCUUGUCUAAUUUGCUGUCUUAUCAAGUUACCUAUGACAAUUUACCGUAUUCCUUAUUCCAUGAGAAUUAAGUGUGUUUCAUAGGUAUAAGAAGGCAUUAUCACAAUGCAUUGCAGAAUCUGAAUAAAUUAUAUUCACUGACUAACACUCCUCUGUCAUUUAUGUUACCUCUUUCAAAUAAUUUAGUAGAUUAGAAGGGAACUAUUUUUACAAAACUAUCUUCAUCAUGUUGCCAUAAAUCCACCUGCU